This 28-nucleotide small RNA is filed under the name Bombyx mori (domestic silkworm). RNAcentral describes it as "ovarian small RNA-20266". Lineage: Eukaryota; Metazoa; Arthropoda; Insecta; Lepidoptera; Bombycidae. The record is from RNAcentral.
UACAGAUGAAUGGACACCAGGUAAUAGU